AUUAGAGUUUGAUCCUGGCUCAGAUUGAACGCUGGCGGCAGGCCUAACACAUGCAAGUCGAGCGGUAGCACAGAGAGCUUGCUCUCGGGUGACGAGCGGCGGACGGGUGAGUAAUGUCUGGGAAACUGCCUGAUGGAGGGGGAUAACUACUGGAAACGGUAGCUAAUACCGCAUAACGUCGCAAGACCAAAGUGGGGGACCUUCGGGCCUCAUGCCAUCAGAUGUGCCCAGAUGGGAUUAGCUAGUAGGUGGGGUAAUGGCUCACCUAGGCGACGAUCCCUAGCUGGUCUGAGAGGAUGACCAGCCACACUGGAACUGAGACACGGUCCAGACUCCUACGGGAGGCAGCAGUGGGGAAUAUUGCACAAUGGGCGCAAGCCUGAUGCAGCCAUGCCGCGUGUAUGAAGAAGGCCUUCGGGUUGUAAAGUACUUUCAGCGAGGAGGAAGGCGUUAAGGUUAAUAACCUUAGCGAUUGACGUUACUCGCAGAAGAAGCACCGGCUAACUCCGUGCCAGCAGCCGCGGUAAUACGGAGGGUGCAAGCGUUAAUCGGAAUUACUGGGCGUAAAGCGCACGCAGGCGGUCUGUCAAGUCGGAUGUGAAAUCCCCGGGCUCAACCUGGGAACUGCAUUCGAAACUGGCAGGCUAGAGUCUUGUAGAGGGGGGUAGAAUUCCAGGUGUAGCGGUGAAAUGCGUAGAGAUCUGGAGGAAUACCGGUGGCGAAGGCGGCCCCCUGGACAAAGACUGACGCUCAGGUGCGAAAGCGUGGGGAGCAAACAGGAUUAGAUACCCUGGUAGUCCACGCCGUAAACGAUGUCGACUUGGAGGUUGUGCCCUUGAGGCGUGGCUUCCGGAGCUAACGCGUUAAGUCGACCGCCUGGGGAGUACGGCCGCAAGGUUAAAACUCAAAUGAAUUGACGGGGGCCCGCACAAGCGGUGGAGCAUGUGGUUUAAUUCGAUGCAACGCGAAGAACCUUACCUACUCUUGACAUCCAGAGAACUUAGCAGAGAUGCUUUGGUGCCUUCGGGAACUCUGAGACAGGUGCUGCAUGGCUGUCGUCAGCUCGUGUUGUGAAAUGUUGGGUUAAGUCCCGCAACGAGCGCAACCCUUAUCCUUUGUUGCCAGCGGUCCGGCCGGGAACUCAAAGGAGACUGCCAGUGAUAAACUGGAGGAAGGUGGGGAUGACGUCAAGUCAUCAUGGCCCUUACGAGUAGGGCUACACACGUGCUACAAUGGCAUAUACAAAGAGAAGCGACCUCGCGAGAGCAAGCGGACCUCAUAAAGUAUGUCGUAGUCCGGAUUGGAGUCUGCAACUCGACUCCAUGAAGUCGGAAUCGCUAGUAAUCGUAGAUCAGAAUGCUACGGUGAAUACGUUCCCGGGCCUUGUACACACCGCCCGUCACACCAUGGGAGUGGGUUGCAAAAGAAGUAGGUAGCUUAACCUUCGGGAGGGCGCUUACCACUUUGUGAUUCAUGACUGGGGUGAAGUCGUAACAAGGUAGCCGUAGAAU
This 1511-nucleotide ribosomal RNA is filed under the name Enterobacter sp. B2-3. RNAcentral describes it as "bacterial SSU rRNA". It matches the Rfam family "Bacterial small subunit ribosomal RNA". The record is from RNAcentral. Lineage: Bacteria; Pseudomonadati; Pseudomonadota; Gammaproteobacteria; Enterobacterales; Enterobacteriaceae.